GAGUGCCCUCUCGGAUGUGAAGAAAAGUUGACAUUUUUUUUAUAUUUGCAGGUCUGCCUGGCUGUGGAGGAUGGACGUCGACAUAUAUAGGAGUCUCCAUAACAAUAAGUAGUAGCGCUAUUCCUUUACCCUUCUUGGUCAUAGCAAUGUAGUGGGAGCUACAAGCUUCACGUGUUUUAACUUUGUCAGAGCACUUUGAAAAAGUGGUCUGUUGUAUCUGGAAAGCUGAUGUUGCGUGUGAAGAUUGCAGACAAGCUUUAUCCAAGGAAAUCUGGCUCUCAAAGUUCAAAGAGCAGUGCCUCUUCGGUUUUCGAACAAGCAAUCCUGUCGGGGAUCUAGCUCUCGAGAUUCAGAGAACGGUGCCUCUU
RNAcentral lists this long non-coding RNA (368 nucleotides) under Malus domestica (apple). RNAcentral's name for it is "long non-coding RNA (MDOM_LNC018038)". The record is from RNAcentral. Lineage: Eukaryota; Viridiplantae; Streptophyta; Magnoliopsida; Rosales; Rosaceae.